AGGUUUUCACUGGGUAAUGUAAAGUUUUGAAAACUUUUUAGAAGUGUUCGAUUCACUUAAAACCUU
This 66-nucleotide transfer RNA is filed under the name Abraliopsis sp. 2 FFA-2023. Its description in RNAcentral is "tRNA-Ser". The record is from RNAcentral. Lineage: Eukaryota; Metazoa; Mollusca; Cephalopoda; Oegopsida; Enoploteuthidae.